Molecule: unclassified non-coding RNA, 353 nt
Filed under: soil metagenome
Description: partial contains 5.8S ribosomal RNA, internal transcribed spacer 2, and large subunit ribosomal RNA
Rfam family: 5.8S ribosomal RNA (bases 1-120)
Source: RNAcentral
GAUGAAGAACGCAGCGAAAUGCGAUAACUAGUGUGAAUUGCAGAAUUCCGUGAAUCAUCGAGUCUUUGAACGCACAUUGCGCCCCCUGGUAUUCCGGGGGGCAUGCCUGUCCGAGCGUCAUUGCUGCCCAUCAAGCACGGCUUGUGUGUUGGGUCGUCGUCCCCCCCUCCGGGGGGGGACGGGCCCUAAAGGCAGCGGCGGCACCGCGUCCGAUCCUCGAGCGUAUGGGGCUUUGUCACCCGCUCUGUAGGCCCGGCCGGCGCUUGCCGAACGCAAAACAACCAUUCUUUCCAGAUUGACCUCGGAUCAGGUAGGGAUACCCGCUGAACUUAAGCAUAUCAAUAAGCGGAGGA